GGGAUGACUGCCCAGUCAGAGGCAUCUAAAAUGAGACCAAAGACCUGGCAGAAGUGAAGUAGUAAGAAUGUGAAUACCUGGGGAAAGGGCAUUAUAGGCAGAGGGAGAAGCAAGUGCAAAGGCCCUGAGUUGGGAUUCUUCUAGGUAUGUUGGAAAAGAGAAUUGAGAAAACCAGGGUGUCUGAGGUGAAAGAAGCAAGGAGAAGAGUGGAGUAGGGAAGGGCCUGAUAUUCAGUUAUGCAUGGUAAGAUGUGUGACAUUUAUUCUGACAUGAGAGCCAUUCAAAGGUUUUCAGGAGAGGAACCUGAAAUGCUGACUUGUAUUGAAAAGGAUUGCUCUGCACACUGUUUAAAAAAUAGACUUACUGGAGGGUAAGACUGGAAGCAGGGAGAGGUGUUAGGAGACAGUGGUGGCUUGGAUUGGGCUGAUGGUCAUGGAGGUGAGCAGUAGCUCAUUCUGGAUAUAGUUGAAGGUCAAGCCAAUUUUACUUGCUGAUAGUGUAGGUGGGGAGUGAGAGAGAGACCAGUGCAAGUCUAGGUGUUGUUUGAUUGAGCAAAUGGAAGACUGGAGGUUGAAUGUUCUGAAGUAGGGGAAGCUGGAAAGACUAUAGAGUUGAGCUCUGGUCACACAGUAAGUUUGAGAGAUCUGUUAUCAAUUUCAAUGGAAGAUGCCAACUAGGCAGCUGAGAGUCCACCAGGAGUCAGAGCUGGAGGAAAUGUUGGGGAGUUUUCAGGGAAUGUGUGGUUCUGGAGGCCAUGGGAUUGAGAGGGAGACUAUCCAGGGAAUGUAGAUAGAGUGCACACGAGGAGGGUGUUCACGCCAAGAGGUCAGGGAGAGGAGAAACUAGUAAGGGGACUAAGAAAGGAGAUAUGGCCAGGGAACCAGGUGCUGAAAGUAUCUCUGGAGGAGGCAAUGAUCAACAUGCACAGAGGCUGCUGAUAAAUCCAGCAAGAUGACAACUGAGAAUUGGCCACUGGAUUUUUCAGUGGGGCAGCCACUACAUGAAGUCAUUUCCUUGAAGUGGUGGGGAUCCAGGUGAGAAUGGGCUUGGAGGAAGGGGAGAUGGGGCAGAAAAGUCUCUGCUCUAUGGAGGACAUCAUGGGGAAGGAAGUGGUGGUGCAGAAGGUGGGGUGGACAGGAGAUGGGAUGACACCUGUAACAAUGAGAGCUAUAUAGCAUGUUGCUUGACUAGAGAGAGUGACCCAUUAGAAAAGAGGGGCACUAGGGGUGUCCUUUGGUAGAAGAGACACGACAGGAUGUAGAUAGUAAAUAGGUCCUGUGAGCACAGUGAAC
This 1292-nucleotide long non-coding RNA is filed under the name Marmota monax (woodchuck). Lineage: Eukaryota; Metazoa; Chordata; Mammalia; Rodentia; Sciuridae. The record is from RNAcentral.